UAGGGAUCUGGGGCAAAAUCAGUACUUGGCCCUGCUAGUGGAGGCGGGGGGUGGCUGGACUUGAUGACCUUUUGGGGUAGAUCUCUAUAUACAUAUACUUGCACUGUUACAAUAAAUGGUUUUUGCUACAGAAACCCUUCUGCCUGUAUACAAGGAUGUAAGAGUAGAAAAAAGUUAGUCAAAAAACAUUUCCACUUUGUUAUGGGCUGUAAGAUUUUCUGACAGGUACCUUAAGACUCUGUUGUCCUUUUAAAUACAAAAAAUUGAACUCAUCCCUGAUUUAGAACAUCAUAUUAACAGGGUUGCCAUGGAUCUGGAAUUAUCCUAAAUUUAUAGCUGCUAGGUUUUUGAGCAAAAAUCAAAGUGUUCCAAGGGUUCAGAAUAGCAUGAAAAGCUAGAGCCGCUCUCACGCCCACACCAGUGGCAUGGGAAUCUUAUGAACAGCUCCUCUCUGAUUGCUGUUUAGGUUUGAGGCAUAUUGGUGUCGUUGCAAUCACAGCAGUCCUGCUUCAGGCCAAAGGCCAGAACAGAAUUUUAACAGCAGUAGAAUCUCCUCAAGGUAGGCUUUGCCUUUCAUGUUUGAAGUCACAUACUGUACCUGAUACUGUAACCUGUCUCUCUCAGCUCUUUAUGGGGCCAUUUCAGAUGGUCUCAGCCUCCACCUGAAAUAUUAGGUUUUUAUGGUGUUCAAAUUGGUAUGUUUGUAGCCUAUAGGCUUGUCUUUUUGCCCUCCAUCUGGUUAGGACAAGUUUCCUAAAGCUGAUUAAACAAAUUUGUCAAUUUCAGGCUACAUGUAAGCAAAGCACUGGGUGCUUCCACCAGCUUCCAUUCUGAUGGUUUGGCUUUGCCCUGAUUAGCAGGGCUCAUCCAAUUGAUUAGAUCUUUCUUAAUGCCUCAUUAUCCAGCUUGGAGGCUUUAAUGGAGGCACACCUGGAACAGCAACUCAAAACAUGACGUUUACAAAGCAAGGAAGGUGCAAGCUUCUAUCUUAAGCUGUUCGAGGUAUGUCAUGUCGAUAUACCACCCUGUAAUUGGGUGCUCUAUUUAAAGAUGCACCCGAUUUUCUUCACUCAUUUUGUUUCAUGAUGGGAUGUUAAAGUGGUAAGAAAUACAUGGUGAAAUCUCACAAAGGGCUGGAGGGUUAGUGACCGGAUAACGGGAGUCCAGCAUAUUAACAAAAAUUUCAGUGGUUGACAGAUCACCCUUAGUCCGUCAGUAUGGAGUCCUCUUGCUAUUAUAACCAUAUGCCCAUUUGCGUCCUGCAUGUUGCCAUUGUUUGGGUACAGAGUGCUAUGGCCCUUCUGUUAUUAAAAGUAUGUUCUGAACAAUGAGUGGGGAAGAGGGAGUUGAAAACAGUGGUCAGAUUCGAUGGCAGAGGGAGUUUUGUAAACACUGGGGUUUCGAGCCAACAGAUUUGGGAAAAGAGACCCAGCGAGGGCAGUAUAGGGGAAGCAGAGAAUUGCACGGGGUGGACAAGCUUGCACUGCCUUCCAUCUGAGGUCCCUUCUGAAUCAAGCCGUGCUUGGAUCAGUCACUUAGCAUAAGCAGCAAAGAGUCCUGUGGCACCUUAUAGACUAACAGAC
Long non-coding RNA from Gopherus evgoodei (Goodes thornscrub tortoise), 1583 nucleotides. RefSeq lists it as uncharacterized. The transcript has 3 exons. NCBI's taxonomy places the organism in Eukaryota, Metazoa, Chordata, Testudines, Testudinidae. The record is from RefSeq and is a predicted model, not a curated record.